RNAcentral lists this long non-coding RNA (629 nucleotides) under Homo sapiens (human). RNAcentral's name for it is "non-protein coding lnc-TASP1-5:3". The record is from RNAcentral. Lineage: Eukaryota; Metazoa; Chordata; Mammalia; Primates; Hominidae.
GUGACCACCUGGAGUGAAGCUCAGGAUUUGCCAGCCAGAACUUUGGCCUACCUGUCAGUCCUGCCCUGCGUGUCACCUCAGCCUGGAAGUCCAUAGGACUGUGAUGAAGAUGACUGCUUGCAUUUUCUGAAUCACUUUGUCGAUGAGACAUGCAUCCUAUUAGAUCUAACAAAGCUUCACAGAAAGGUUGUUUUGAAGUUGACACUGAGGAAGAUAUAAGUGCUCUAGGAUCAGUAUGUGAGGCUGCCACAAACAUGCUAUAGUCUGCACAUUCUUGCAGAGAGGUUGCAGAGUCUGCUUGGGAGAGAAGCCUCAAAAACAUGGCUGGUGUCUUGGCAGAGUUUGCUCUGGCCCCCAGGAGGGUGUACAAACAGCCUUCAUGAGAAGGUGACUUGCUGGCCACUCUUAACCACUAGAAGAAACUGAUGCCAUGGAACUUUGAAAAAUCAGAAAGCAAUUCCACAAAAGAAGAACCUCUGAAGAUAGUAGAGCCCAAUGAAGAUAAAUGACAUCGCCCAUAGGAGGGAACAGUGGUAUCAACCUAAAGGGGCUCACUGCCCUAUGUGCUGGAGGCCAAUACUAUGACAAUGGGUUUUUGAGAAAAUAAAAGCUUUGCAUUGAGAUUCAAC